Molecule: ribosomal RNA, 2397 nt
Filed under: Escherichia coli
Lineage: Bacteria; Pseudomonadati; Pseudomonadota; Gammaproteobacteria; Enterobacterales; Enterobacteriaceae
Description: partial 23S ribosomal RNA
Rfam family: Bacterial large subunit ribosomal RNA
Source: RNAcentral
CGGGACACGUGGUAUCCUGUCUGAAUAUGGGGGGACCAUCCUCCAAGGCUAAAUACUCCUGACUGACCGAUAGUGAACCAGUACCGUGAGGGAAAGGCGAAAAGAACCCCGGCGAGGGGAGUGAAAAAGAACCUGAAACCGUGUACGUACAAGCAGUGGGAGCCUCUUAAUGGGGUGACUGCGUACCUUUUGUAUAAUGGGUCAGCGACUUAUAUUCUGUAGCAAGGUUAACCGAAUAGGGGAGCCGAAGGGAAACCGAGUCUUAACUGGGCGUUAAGUUGCAGGGUAUAGACCCGAAACCCGGUGAUCUAGCCAUGGGCAGGUUGAAGGUUGGGUAACACUAACUGGAGGACCGAACCGACUAAUGUUGAAAAAUUAGCGGAUGACUUGUGGCUGGGGGUGAAAGGCCAAUCAAACCGGGAGAUAGCUGGUUCUCCCCGAAAGCUAUUUAGGUAGCGCCUCGUGAAUUCAUCUCCGGGGGUAGAGCACUGUUUCGGCAAGGGGGUCAUCCCGACUUACCAACCCGAUGCAAACUGCGAAUACCGGAGAAUGUUAUCACGGGAGACACACGGCGGGUGCUAACGUCCGUCGUGAAGAGGGAAACAACCCAGACCGCCAGCUAAGGUCCCAAAGUCAUGGUUAAGUGGGAAACGAUGUGGGAAGGCCCAGACAGCCAGGAUGUUGGCUUAGAAGCAGCCAUCAUUUAAAGAAAGCGUAAUAGCUCACUGGUCGAGUCGGCCUGCGCGGAAGAUGUAACGGGGCUAAACCAUGCACCGAAGCUGCGGCAGCGACACUAUGUGUUGUUGGGUAGGGGAGCGUUCUGUAAGCCUGUGAAGGUGUACUGUGAGGUAUGCUGGAGGUAUCAGAAGUGCGAAUGCUGACAUAAGUAACGAUAAAGCGGGUGAAAAGCCCGCUCGCCGGAAGACCAAGGGUUCCUGUCCAACGUUAAUCGGGGCAGGGUGAGUCGACCCCUAAGGCGAGGCCGAAAGGCGUAGUCGAUGGGAAACAGGUUAAUAUUCCUGUACUUGGUGUUACUGCGAAGGGGGGACGGAGAAGGCUAUGUUGGCCGGGCGACGGUUGUCCCGGUUUAAGCGUGUAGGCUGGUUUUCCAGGCAAAUCCGGAAAAUCAAGGCUGAGGCGUGAUGACGAGGCACUACGGUGCUGAAGCAACAAAUGCCCUGCUUCCAGGAAAAGCCUCUAAGCAUCAGGUAACAUCAAAUCGUACCCCAAACCGACACAGGUGGUCAGGUAGAGAAUACCAAGGCGCUUGAGAGAACUCGGGUGAAGGAACUAGGCAAAAUGGUGCCGUAACUUCGGGAGAAGGCACGCUGAUAUGUAGGUGAAGUCCCUCGCGGAUGGAGCUGAAAUCAGUCGAAGAUACCAGCUGGCUGCAACUGUUUAUUAAAAACACAGCACUGUGCAAACACGAAAGUGGACGUAUACGGUGUGACGCCUGCCCGGUGCCGGAAGGUUAAUUGAUGGGGUUAGCGGUAACGCGAAGCUCUUGAUCGAAGCCCCGGUAAACGGCGGCCGUAACUAUAACGGUCCUAAGGUAGCGAAAUUCCUUGUCGGGUAAGUUCCGACCUGCACGAAUGGCGUAAUGAUGGCCAGGCUGUCUCCACCCGAGACUCAGUGAAAUUGAACUCGCUGUGAAGAUGCAGUGUACCCGCGGCAAGACGGAAAGACCCCGUGAACCUUUACUAUAGCUUGACACUGAACAUUGAGCCUUGAUGUGUAGGAUAGGUGGGAGGCUUUGAAGUGUGGACGCCAGUCUGCAUGGAGCCGGCCUUGAAAUACCACCCUUUAAUGUUUGAUGUUCUAACGUUGGCCCCUGAUCGGGGUUGCGGACAGUGUCUGGUGGGUAGUUUGACUGGGGCGGUCUCCUCCUAAAGAGUAACGGAGGAGCACGAAGGUUGGCUAAUCCUGGUCGGACAUCAGGAGGUUAGUGCAAUGGCAUAAGCCAGCUUGACUGCGAGCGUGACGGCGCGAGCAGGUGCGAAAGCAGGUCAUAGUGAUCCGGUGGUUCUGAAUGGAAGGGCCAUCGCUCAACGGAUAAAAGGUACUCCGGGGAUAACAGGCUGAUACCGCCCAAGAGUUCAUAUCGACGGCGGUGUUUGGCACCUCGAUGUCGGCUCAUCACAUCCUGGGGCUGAAGUAGGUCCCAAGGGUAUGGCUGUUCGCCAUUUAAAGUGGUACGCGAGCUGGGUUUAGAACGUCGUGAGACAGUUCGGUCCCUAUCUGCCGUGGGCGCUGGAGAACUGAGGGGGGCUGCUCCUAGUACGAGAGGACCGGAGUGGACGCAUCACUGGUGUUCGGGUUGUCAUGCCAAUGGCACUGCCCGGUAGCUAAAUGCGGAAGAGAUAAGUGCUGAAAGCAUCUAAGCACGAAACUUGCCCC